CCCUUAGAUGUUCUGGGCCGCACGCGCGCUACACUGAUUCAUUCAUCAAGUCUAUAACCUUGGUAGAAAUGCUUGGGUAAUCUUUGAAACUGAAUCGUGCUGGGGAUUGGAGCUUGUAAUUAUUCUCCAUGAACGAGGAAUUCCUAGUAAACGCGAGUCAUCAGCUCGCAUUGAUUACGUCCCUGCCCUUUGUACACACCGCCCGUCGUACCUACCGAUUGAAUGGUCCGGUGAAAUCUUCGGACCGGGCGAUGGUCAGCAAUGGCCGCUGCCUGGAAAGUCGCUUAAACCUUACCAUUUAGAGGAAGGUGAAGUCGUAACA
RNAcentral lists this ribosomal RNA (322 nucleotides) under uncultured eukaryote. RNAcentral describes it as "partial 18S ribosomal RNA". It matches the Rfam family "Eukaryotic small subunit ribosomal RNA", at positions 1470 to 1796 of the family's 1831-position model. The record is from RNAcentral.